Molecule: ribosomal RNA, 404 nt
Filed under: uncultured bacterium
Lineage: Bacteria
Description: bacterial SSU rRNA
Rfam family: Bacterial small subunit ribosomal RNA
Source: RNAcentral
UGAGGGAUUUUCCACAAUGGGCGAAAGCCUGAUGGAGCAAUGCCGCGUGGAGGAAGAAUGACUUCGGUUUGUAAACUCCUUUUGCGAGGAAAGAUUAUGACGGUACCUCGCGAAUAAGGCGCUGCUAACUACGUGCCAGCAGCAGCGGUAAUACGUAGGCGUCAAGCGUUAUCCGGAUUUAUUGGGCGUAAAGGGUCCGCAGGCGGAUUAAUAAGUCUAAUGUUAAAGAUCUCGGCUUAACCGAGGGAAGGUAUUGGAAACUAUUAAUCUAGAGGCCGGUAGAGGUUACUGGAACUUGUCGAGUAGGGGUAAUAUCCGUUGAUACGACAAGGAACACCAAAGGCGAAGGCAGGUAACUGGGCCGGCCCUGACGCUCAGGGACGAAAGCGUGGGGAGCGAACGGG